This 253-nucleotide ribosomal RNA is filed under the name uncultured bacterium. RNAcentral describes it as "partial 16S ribosomal RNA". It matches the Rfam family "Bacterial small subunit ribosomal RNA", at positions 524 to 776 of the family's 1533-position model. The record is from RNAcentral.
UACGGAGGGUGCAAGCGUUAUCCGGAUUCACUGGGCUUAAAGGGUGCGUAGGCGGGCAGGUAAGUCAGUGGUGAAAUCUCCGAGCUUAACUCGGAAACUGCCUUUGAUACUAUCUGUCUUGAAUAUGGUGGAGGUAAGCGGAAUAUGUCAUGUAGCGGUGAAAUGCUUAGAUAUGACAUAGAACACCUAUUGCGAAGGCAGCUUACUACGCCUAUAUUGACGCUGAGGCACGAAAGCGUGGGGAUCAAACAGG